Molecule: long non-coding RNA, 537 nt
Organism: Onychostoma macrolepis
Lineage: Eukaryota; Metazoa; Chordata; Actinopteri; Cypriniformes; Cyprinidae
Exons: 4
Source: RefSeq, a predicted model, not a curated record
UUUCUCCUCUUCAUUCGUUAUACGGUAAUCUCCCUCGUCAAAAGGGAUUUAUCGGUGAUCUUGUCACGUGCCAGAAUUGCGCGAGAUACAAUAAAUUCAAGACAUGCAGCUACUCGACUUGGAAAUCGGCGUCAUCUUUGAAAUACAGCAGGUUUUGUGGUGUUUUGCAGCGUGCAGGAUGUCAUUUCAUUUUUUGUGCCGAAAGCUUUGCACCUCGACUGAGAAGAUGCAGCUUUACAGGCUUCAGUUUCUGAACUGCUACUUUAAAACAGAUUUGUCAGGUGUGCCUUGGGAAAACAAACAGUUGUGACUAUGGUGACAUAGUUAUGAAAGAAACCGGUCACCUUCGUGGAUGAUAAAAUAACAACACAGCUGGCUUGGAUGGCAGUCUUCUGGAAUAAUAUCAUCAUCAUCAUAAUGUCUUCAGGCACAAGCCAGAGGGGGAACUGAUAUUCAUAAUGAAAGAUACAUUUUCAUUAAACAACAAAGGCACCGGGCAUCAUACCAAUACAUAGUUUCUGUUUAAUCAUUAAUAAA